AAACUCCACGACUGCUCUUUGCUCAAAGUAAUUUUUGGCAAUUAUUCUAAUGCUUUUUCGGUGGAGUCCUAGUGGUAAUAUGCUCUUGGACAGGUUAUCCUAUGCCUCUCGCUAGAUUGAUGAGAUCAGGCAUC
Molecule: non-coding RNA, 134 nt
Organism: Pteropus alecto (black flying fox)
Lineage: Eukaryota; Metazoa; Chordata; Mammalia; Chiroptera; Pteropodidae
Source: Rfam